CCAAAAUGGCCCUGAUUUGGGACCCAGGUUGGUUUGUAUUGUGCAAUCCGAAAUCAAAACAACUUCGGAAGAUGAGAACCGAACCGCAGAAGCAGAUAACUGAAACCCAGAAAACAUCAAACGCUCUCCAUCUUCUUCUCCGCCGCAGCCUCGUCGGAAAUGCAGCUGCACCGCCGCACCAUCUUCUUCUUCUCAGCCGCAAACCCACUAAAAACUAGUUAGUAUCUUAAAUCUUCAUGGAUUUGCUUUUGAUUUUUAAUUGUGAGUUUAUUUGGUUCUGAAGAUACGAUCCGAAAAUGCCUAAGUUCGGGCGAUGCAAUCCGAAUUCGCAUAGGUUCGGCAGCUGCGAUCCGAAUUGAAGCAGAGUUGUUCCAUCAAUUCAGUUUUGUGAGUAAGCAACAUUAACAGAGCACAAUCUUUUGAUGUGUUCUCUUCUUGCGAGGUCUCUGCACAAGCAAGUAAAAAUCUUGAUUCAUGGAGGCUCCAGAAGUUUUGAUUGUGUUUCCAGGUGUAUUCUUCUUGUUGUUCCUUCAUUUUGGCUUGUUACUACGUUGAAGAAGAAGAAGAAGAAGCAUACCAUCUGUGUUUUGCAAAUUAGGUGAAGAAGCAUAAUUAAUGAAUUUCCUUCAAAACGUGCAAAUUAGGUGAAGAAGCUAUGCGUGUUGGCUGUUAUUGGUGUAGCAGGUUUUUGUUGUAGCUGGUUUGGUUGUUAUAAAAGUUUGUUUUGCGAGACAAAAAACACCCUUACCUAGAUGCUACCUUGCAUUACAUGUCAAUAUUACAAGAAAUCAACCAGGGAACUUGCUAGAUUAGGGCCAAAAAAGCAAGAAUUGUGUAUAAGAUUCAAUAUCAUACAGCUAUAUCACUAACGUGGUAAUUCAACUAUAGCUACUAAACACUAAUUGACAACUAUUGCAAUAUCUUCACAAUUCCCGGUAAAUCAAUUAAAUUAUUGACAAAAUAACAAUAGUUGCAACUAAGUUUGAAAGAUUAGAGUCUGAUAUAAAAACAAAGGUAUUUGGUGGAUGUCUAGUUCGGUUCCUACAUACCAAAAUUAAUUAAAUUCGGUUGCUAUGUUCCAAAACAGGCUAAGGGUAAUUUGGUCGGAACGGGGGGCCUACGAGCAAUAUAGGGGGCCAGAAAAGCAAUUUUCCUAAAAUUAGGGUCUAGCCGAACAGCCCAAAGUCAGCCAGCCCACACAACAAUAGAAGGAAAGCGCGAUUCCACAAACCCUUUCUUUCAUCUUUCUUCUACCAUUUCGCUUUCUCCUUACUCUAACUCUCACUUUUUUUGAUCAAUGUUCACCAAAGUGUAGUUUUUUCUUUUCCGCCAUUACUCUAGUUUACUGUUAUUUCAACUCAGUUUUAUGGUUGUUUACAAUCUGUGCUUUAUUUCUUAUUUUGUUUCUGUUUUUUGUGACCCAUUUUUUGUGAUAUCUUACAUGAAUGAUAAUGCAUGUACUGUGUGCUAUGAUCAAAUCAGGUUUUAGAUUUUCUGCAUUAUUAUUAAAGGAAAUGUAUUUCACAUCCUAAAAUGCUUCAUUCCAAUGUUGAUACCAUGAUUUAGGGUUUUCAGUAAUAUUUGAUUUGACACACAUAAAUAAGAGCAUGAUUUUUUUUUCUCUUUCGAUUAUUACUUGAUUUGUCCAUUUGGAAAAAGUAGUGUUGUUAGUUGUUACAUUUUUUAGAAAAACAAAGCAGUGUUGUAUCAAUCCUGUUUAUUAAUUUCUGCAACUAAGUGGUUGAUUUCAAGUGGUUAAUGAGCUCGCAAAUCAUUCGGGACUCGAGUUUCAUUCAUGAGUAGAAUUAUUUUUGGCCCCAUUUCCCUUAGAACCGCGUAAUUUUGUUUGGGUCAUGUUAACUAAUGCCCCCAUUUCCUUCAAUUUCCCUAAUCCCUAUGAGUUAUGAGGGUUUUGUGUUUCCUUUUUGCUUACGAAAUUCAUUCUAUAUAACAUGUUGUCAUUGCAAUAGGUGUUUCUGUUCUGCUUAAGAAAUCUAUACUUUAUAACAUUAAUAUUCUGUGGAAGAAACUCAAAUAUCUAUAGUGCAUUGGCCCGGAGACAGCCGUAAAGUAGUAUAAUAUGUUACAUUUAGUGUCAAUGCAUCUCGUGGAUUGUAAAUGGUUAUCUGCAAAAUCUUCUUAUAGCAGCAGGCUCGGCUGUCGAGUGUUUUUCACUGUCUUAAGUUAGGUAUUGGCCCUGUCUUAUCAUCUAUUUGAACCUUAUGUCUAUCAAUCCCUUUGCUCAACAAAAGGACAGAAAUGAACACUAUGAGUAUGCUAUUUGCUUUUAAUGACAAAGGUCUGAUAUUGCAUUUUUAUUUCUGGGUAGAAUCACAGCUUUCUAUUUACUAUAUCUUUUUAUUUACUUGAUUUUCCAAUGUAUUUGUUUUCACAACCCUUCAAUUUUUCACUUUUCAUAUCUUUUGGUUUUGCUUUUCAAUUGACGACUGCCUUUUAUGCUUACUCAUUUUCCGCUGCAUAAAUUUCCUAAUGUGUCUUCUCGAUAUGCCCAAUGAUGAUAUGAUCCUCUGCAUAAUAUUCAAAGUCUUUCCGUCCCGUCUGCCUUUCUUCACACUGCCAUCACUAUUGACUUCUUUUUCUUCUUCUUCUUUAACUCUGUCGUUGCCAUCAACUUCAUCAUCGUCGUCAUUAUUAUUAAUUAUUAUUAUUAUUAUUUCAAUUUUCAUAGUGACAGUGGGCUGAGAUGGCGGAGGUUGUGCUCUGUGUGCACUGCCUUGAUGGAUGUUGAGAGGCUUUCAUGGAUGUUGAAAACCUACACAUCUAACAAUAUCUGAGGGCAAAGUAACCAUUUUGCGUUUGGAUAAUCUUGUCAAUUGCUUCGUUUGUUCACUUAUUUUAUAUGUUUUCUUCAGGACUCUAGCUACCUGUCUUUGCCCUAGUUGAGGAGAGAUGGUGAGAAGUUUAGGUGUUCUUUUCUGUCGAGUGUCUACUGAUUUAUCUAAUUUACUUUCUCCUUCGUUUUUGCAGGUUGAUUUGUCAUAAUCGGCGAUUCACUUAUUUUCACUUGUAAGGGAACUAUAGUAGUAUAGUUGACCUAUUUAUUGUUUAGGAUGCUAAUGUUAUUUUUAACAGUUGAUUUCAGUUAAACUUGGAUGAGAUAUAGUUUAACUUUGAAUUUAGUGUUUCAUAUUCACUCGUGGCUCCCUCUAUGGUUGUCAAUCUAGGGUUCUCAUUUGUGCUUAAUAGAUUUUUCUUGACAGUUUAAAUUUAGAUAUCAUAUUACUUAUGAUUGUAUUAUCGCACUUGUGUUUCAAUAAUUACUUGGUUCUUUGCUGUUUUAUUGUCAUCAUCAAAUUCGACCAAUAUUUCUUUAUCUUAAACUAUUGAAUAGCUCUCAAUUUUCACUUAGUGUAGAUUUUUUUACCAUCAAAUUGAACUAAUUUUACUUGCCUUGGGACAAAUUUGCAUAUAAUUUCUUCUGGAUAAGCCCGAUGACGAGUUUUCAAUGCUACUAACUAUGCUUUUCCUUCCAUUUCCUACUUUCUCCCCACUGUCAUCACUACUAACUAUGCUGCUUCUACUGUUGUUGUUGUUGUUGUUGUUGUUCUUGUGUUUCUUCUUCUUCUUCUUCUUCUUCUUCUUCUUCUUCUUCACCUUAUACUUCUUUUUCUUCUUCGUCUUCUCAUUAUCAUUGUUGUUAGUAUACAAUUACUGACAGUGGGUAGAGAUAGUAGAGGUCGUGUGUGGUUCUUUCAUUUUGCACUGCCUUGAUGGAUGGCGAGAGGCUUGUAUGGAUGUUGAAAAAAUACUAACCUAAUACCAUCUGAGGGCACAUUUAUCUAGCUUGUUUUUGAAAAGUUUUUUUUGAAUGAUUUCUAUUUGAAAUUUUUGUUUGAGAUGUUAAUUUCAUGAAUCAUGACCAUUCUUCCCGUUCUAUCAGGUAGGUAUCUGUUUGUCUCUUGAUUCAUAUGUCAUUUAAAUUUCUGUUUUAUCUCAUCUUCCUUUAGGUAUUUGUUUGGCUUUAUUGAUGUUGAAAACGUCUAACCUAAUACCAUCUGAGGGCACGUUUUUCUAUAUUGUUUUUGAAAGUUUUUUUCAAUGAUUUCUAUUUGAAUUUUCUUGUUUGAUAUGUUAAUAUCAUGAAUCUUGACCAUAUGUCAUUUAAAUUUCUGUUUUAUCUCAUCUUCCUUUUUGUAUUAUUUUAAUUUAAUUACUCAUAAUCCGUAGCAGAUUGGUUUUAACCAAUCUACCUUACCUACUGUUUUUAAUCCUUCUAUCUUUAUACAUGAAUAAAAGAAACAACUGUCAUCCCCUCCUAAAUUUAGACACAUAUGAAAAUGAUUGACCGUUAAAAUACAGUGACCAUGUAAAUCUGUAAGAAGAUGAAGUUCCUGGGAAUGCUGUUACGCUUUAUUCCUCUGCCCAAGGCUGGUUUAAAUAGAGAGGAUACAGUUAGUUCUCUUCUUGAACUAAGGAGAAAAUAGUUACAAAGGAAAAUAAAAGGAAACAAUAGAAAUAUCUAGAAUCGCCUAGAAACUUUUAGUACUUCACAUAUGUAGUUAUAUAUGCUUACGUUCUUAAUUACAUGUAUAUUACUUCAUACAUACUGUUCAAUUUAUUAACCUCUGAAAACUAUAUAUAGCAUUAUAAAUUUGAUUCUCGAAGAUCCCUGUCUACUGUUUUAAAUAAGUAGUGUUAUAUAAACCCCAUUAGCUAAUUUGUUUUUCUGUUUCCUAUUGUUCUGUUAUUAUUUUUCGUUUAUCUUUGAAGUAAUUAGUGAAAAUUUAGCAAGAUUUUUUCUAUGAUGCCCAAUGAUGUAAAAAUUAACUAUUGACCGGCUACAUGGGUUUGUUCAUAACUCUACUUGCACCUCUCUGUCUCUCUCUCUCACUCACUUACUCACUCAUUGUGUGUGUGUAUGUAUAUAUAUGUAUGAUCAUGAUCUUUCUCUCUCCUUUCUCUCUCUCUCUGGAUAUAUCUAUCUAUCUAUCUAUUAUGAUGCAAGGAAGUUGUGAAUGAAGCCAUGUAAAUGCCGUAGAUGAUAUUGUUUAGGUAUGAGUUCUGAGGGCUGUGUUUCCUUUUUUCUGUCAAUUCAGCUAAGUGACAGUUUUUGCAAAAAGGGGUUUCUGCUAUGCUUAAGAAAGCCAUACUAUUUUGUCACUUGUGUUUUAAUUAUUAUUUGGUUUUUUGCUGUUUUAUUGUCAUCAUCAAAUUCAACCAAAUUUUGUUUAUCUUAAACUAUUGAAUGGCUCUCAAUUUUCAGUGUAGAUUUCCUUAUCCAUUAAAGAGAACUGAUUUUACUUGUUCAAUUUUCCUAGGGAUAAAUUUGGAUAUAAUUUCUUACGGAUAUGUCCUAUGAUGAAUCUUCAUUGCUAGAAAUGUUACUCUGAAUAUCAUUCAUAGCUUUUCCAUCCAUUCUGCCUUUAUCCCCACUGUCAACACUACUAACUAUGCUGUUGCUGCUGCUGCUGCUGCUGUACUUCUUUUUCUUUUUCGUCUUCUGGUUUUUAUUGUUGUUAUUGCUACUACUGAUAGUGAGGUAGAGACGGUAGAGGUUGUGCGUAGUUUUCUCUUCCGUGCACUGCCUUGAUGGAUGGCGAGAGGCUUUUAUAGAUGUUCAAAAAGUACCAACCUCUAACAUCUGAGGGCACAGUGGCUAUCUUGUGUUUGAAUAACUUUUUCAACGAUUUCUUUUUUUAAAUUUUUGUUUGAUAUGUUAAUUUCAUGAAUCAUAACCAUCAUCCUUUCAAUUCUAUCAGGCAGGUAUCUGUUUGUCUUGAUCCAGAUGUGAUUUAAAUUUCUGUUUUGUCUCAUCUUCCUUUGUGUAUUAAUUUAAUAAUUCAUGAUUUGUAGCUGAUUUGUAUUUACCAAUCUUCCUUACAAACUGUUUGUUUUUAAUCCUUCUAUCUUUUCAAAUGAAGAAAAGAAGCAACCAUCAUUCCCUCCUAAAUUUACAUGCAUAUUACAUUUAUUGACUGUAAAAAUAAAUGUGACCAUGCAAGUCCCUGGGAUUUAUUUUCGUAGAUACAAUGCUAAGUUACUAUUUUUUUUUUCAUUUCUGAUUACCCAGUUUAUCUAUGUCCAACAUAUAGUGUUAAUUCCACAGUUUAUAUAUUAUUAUUAUUAUUAUUAUGGAUUCUGUGUUUUUGCUUGAUAUAAAGUCCAAAAGUUUAAAUAGAUAAUCGAACCCAAAAUCACAAAUUACUCUUUUAGCUGAAAUAGUGAAUAUGUAGCAAGUUGUUUUUUAUGCUGCCAAUGAUGUAAAAAUGGACUAUUGAGCUGUUACAUGGUUUUGUCCACAACUUGACCUGCACCAUUACUAUAACUCUUGAUUCUGUUAGAAGGUGCAAGAAGGUUGUGAAUGAAACUAGUUUCAAAAGCAGCAAAUGAUUUCUAUUUCGCUAUCUGAGGGCUUUGCAUUUAUUUUUUCUGGCAAUCUUAUAGGACUUAUAUGCUUACAUUCUUAGUUACAUUUAUAUCAUUUCAUAGUACUGUUUAAUUUAUUAACAUCUGAAAAUUGUAUAUAGCAUUAUAAAUUGGGUCUUGCUAACAUGUGCCCUAAGGGCAUAUAUUAAGGAAACCAAAAGUAGUAUUUUGAAUUUUAAAAAAUUUAAUGCACGACUUUUAAGAUGAAUAUUUCUAUAUUACGUUCUUUAACAUGUGCCCUUAGGGCACAUAUUAGCUUUUUCCUUAUAAAUUUGAUACUCAGGACUCUGAUUGCUGUUGUUUUAAAUAAUCAGGGCAAGCUCCUAGGAGAAUAUGAUCAUAUGAUGCAUGCCAUAGAAAAUUGAGUAUGUUGACAAGUAAGCUGUUCUGUUUCCCUCUUUGCGAUGUCUGCGCAAGACAAUUUACUUAAAUAUCUGGAAUUCCUGAUUUGUUUUAUUGGCUGUUACGGUAACAGCCUUUAGGAUCUUAUGGGCAAUCAAGGAGAGUUUGCCCUUUGCAUAACUUUUAGAUUCUUUCUACCUUCAUAAUGUUUGGUUUUUUAUAUUUGUUAUUUUUAGAUUUUGUUUGAUACCUUAUGAGCAAUCAAGUAGUAUUAUCUGAAUUUUAAUGCUUGUUGACAAUUAUAAAUUAUAAAUACUAGGGUACUAAGCAUUUGUGAGGGAAUUCUAUCACACUGAGAAGUAAUGACCAGUACAAUGUUGCAUAAACUGUUUUUGGUCUAGUGGUAAAAAAAUAGGUCUUGGAGCCCCUUUAGUGUGCCCUUGGUCGGAGGCAAACGUAAAAACUGUUUUUUGAGUCAUAAGAUCUUCUCUGCCUAAAUUGAGGCAUGGUCCUCUCACCAUAAUGACUGGUCCUGUGAAUUAAGCUUUUUCUUGGUUUUUCCCUUGAUUGUUUGUACCUGUUUUAACGAUUAACGGUUUGGUUUGUACUUUUACACUUUGAAACUUUUGUAUCUAACUUAAACUGCUUUUCUCCUUUUCUUCUUAUGACAAUGACAAUAAAUCUCCUUGAUUCAUGCUAUCAAUUUCAAAUCUUUUCAAUUGAGUGCUUCAACUUUGGAAUCCUUCAAAGGUCAAGGUCAAUAUGCUUGUUAAGAAAGUGAUGGUAAAAUUGAAUCAUGCUGUCUUGUUGGGGAACUAUAGGGAAUAGGUCUGGUGGUGUUGGUUUUCUAUAGGAAACAAUCAAUUGAUGGGCCCUCCUUGAAGACCUCUGUAUGUUUUUGAUAUAUCUUAUGGAAGAAUAGUCAAAAAAUCCAUACUCCUGA
Trifolium pratense (red clover) is the source of this 7672-nucleotide long non-coding RNA. RefSeq lists it as uncharacterized. Lineage: Eukaryota; Viridiplantae; Streptophyta; Magnoliopsida; Fabales; Fabaceae. The record is from RefSeq and is a predicted model, not a curated record. The transcript is spliced from 3 exons.